CCCUUAGAUGUUCUGGGCCGCACGCGCGCUACAAUGAUGAAUUCAACGAGUUUAUAACCUUGGUUGAAAAGCCUGGGUAAUCUUUUGAACUUUCGUCGUGAUGGGGCUAGACCCUUGCAAUUAUUGGUCUCCAACGAGGAAUUCCUAGUAAACGCAAGUCAUCAGCUUGCAUUGAUUACGUCCCUGCCCUUUGUACACACCGCCCGUCGCACCUACCGAUUGAAUGGUCCGGUGAAAUCUUCGGAUUGAGACUUUGAUUUCUUCACGGAAAACGCUGUUUUAAGAAGUUGAUUAAACCUUACCAUUUAGAGGAAGGUGAANUCGUAACA
Molecule: ribosomal RNA, 329 nt
Filed under: uncultured eukaryote
Lineage: Eukaryota
Description: partial 18S ribosomal RNA
Rfam family: Eukaryotic small subunit ribosomal RNA
Source: RNAcentral